CUCCAAAUUGCCCGCUAGGAGACAGUGUUGCUCCUAUUGAGAAAGACUCCUCUAGAACAGGGGUCAGAGUAGUACUUACGGAUUUUCAGGCCAAAAGCUGUCUGACAAAACUAUUCAACCCUGCCAGGUGCCCUACGGCAGCUACAGACAGUGCAUAAAAGCACAGGCAUGGCUGUGUUCCAAUAAAGCUUUGUUGACAAUAGCAGGUGCCUCGCUGGAUUUGGCCCACAGAACGCAGUUUACUGACCCUUGGUCUGGGGCAGCCCCUUCAGUUUACAGGGUGGGCCUACGGCGGACAUUCAGCACCCGGGCCAGAGGACAGAGCCUGAUGGGGCCAGGCCCUCCAGUCUCAGCACCAGGGACCCCUGGACCUCUGGGAUCUGCUUGCUCCUGGGCCUGGAUGUGAGACCAGUGCCUCCCAGACCUGCGGUUCGGGGCCAGUUUUGUUUCUUUUUUUCAGUUCAUCAUGGGCUGAUAGUUCUGUAAAAUACAGUAAAUAUGGAAGUGGGGAAAUGGAGACGAAGAGACAUGUAACAAACAUUAUUAGAUUCAACGG
This 556-nucleotide long non-coding RNA is filed under the name Felis catus (domestic cat). Its description in RNAcentral is "lncRNA (ENSFCAG00000051425.1)". The record is from RNAcentral. Lineage: Eukaryota; Metazoa; Chordata; Mammalia; Carnivora; Felidae.